This is a small nucleolar RNA of Gouania willdenowi (blunt-snouted clingfish), 145 nucleotides long. NCBI's taxonomy places the organism in Eukaryota, Metazoa, Chordata, Actinopteri, Blenniiformes, Gobiesocidae. The record is from Ensembl.
CUUCUGUGAUGACACGAUGACGAGUCGGAAAAGCUUCCCCUCUGAUAGGUCGCUGGUUCAGACUCGCGUUCUGUGGGUCUGCUCUGGGUCGUCCAAUCAAAGAGAAGCUUUUGGUUGAAGACAUCGAGGCAUUUGUCUGAGAAGC